This is a non-coding RNA of Pelobates cultripes (western spadefoot toad), 233 nucleotides long. The record is from the annotation of a GenBank genome assembly. NCBI's taxonomy places the organism in Eukaryota, Metazoa, Chordata, Amphibia, Anura, Pelobatidae.
CCCAAUGCAUGGAGCAUGCUCUGAUAGCUGUAAAUCCUUGGACACGCUACUCUGCAGGAUGGGACGCCAAGCUCUUCUUUAUUCCAAUCUCAUACCUGCCCACCUUCCUAUCCGACUAUCUACUAACACACUCUGUUCCAAAGCCAGCUAAGAACACAUCUCAUUAACUUAAGCAAUUGUAACAUGUAAUUAUGCAUUCCAGAACAGGUUUUCUAGAUUGCACUUCACAUCCU